Molecule: ribosomal RNA, 745 nt
Filed under: Clostridioides difficile
Lineage: Bacteria; Bacillati; Bacillota; Clostridia; Peptostreptococcales; Peptostreptococcaceae
Description: bacterial LSU rRNA
Rfam family: Bacterial large subunit ribosomal RNA
Source: RNAcentral
GCGUUGAAAAGCUCGGGGAUGACUUGUGGGUAGCGGUGAAAUUCCAAUCGAGCCCGGAGAUAGCUGGUUCUCCCCGAAAUAGCUUUAGGGCUAGCCUCAAGGUGAGAGAUACGGAGGUAGAGCACUGAAUGUCCUAGGGGGUAUUGCACCUACCGAAGACUAUCAAACUCCGAAUGCCGUCAUCUUAUACUUGGGAGUCAGACUGUGGGUGAUAAGAUUCAUAGUCGAAAGGGCAACAGCCCAGAUCGUCAGCUAAGGUCCCUAAAUGUAAGUUAAGUGGUAAAGGAUGUGGGAUUGCACAGACAACCAGGAUGUUGGCUUAGAAGCAGCCACUCAUUCAAAGAGUGCGUAAUAGCUCACUGGUCGAGUGAUCCUGCGCCGAAGAUUUCCGGGGCUAAAACUUACUACCGAAGCUACGGCAUCAGUAAUGAUGGGUAGGGGAGCUUCCCAUACGGGUUGAAGCAUGACCGUAAGGACAUGUGGACAGUAUGGGAGGGAGAAUGUUGGCAUGAGUAGCGAGAUGUGGGUGAGAAUCCCACAGGCCGUAAACCCAAGGUUUCCAGGGGAAGGUUCGUCCGCCCUGGGUUAGUCGGGACCUAAGCUGAGGCCGAAAGGCGUAGGUGAUGGACAACAGGUUGAUAUUCCUGUACUACCGAUAACCGUUUGAGAGAAGGGAUGACACAGUAGGAUAAGCUAAGCACACUGUUGGUUAUGUGUGCCCAAGCAUUGAGGCAGUCAAAGUAGG